Molecule: transfer RNA, 76 nt
Filed under: Pseudomonas sp.
Lineage: Bacteria; Pseudomonadati; Pseudomonadota; Gammaproteobacteria; Pseudomonadales; Pseudomonadaceae
Also listed under: 3 other names
Description: tRNA-Ala
Rfam family: tRNA
About the family: Transfer RNA (tRNA) molecules are approximately 80 nucleotides in length. Their secondary structure includes four short double-helical elements and three loops (D, anti-codon, and T loops).
Source: RNAcentral
GGGGCUGUAGCGCAGCUGGUAGCGCACCGCACUGGCAGUGCGGGGGUCACGGGUUCGAAUCCCGUCAGCUCCACCA